Molecule: ribosomal RNA, 290 nt
Filed under: uncultured Anaerolineaceae bacterium
Lineage: Bacteria; Bacillati; Chloroflexota; Anaerolineae; Anaerolineales; Anaerolineaceae
Description: partial 16S ribosomal RNA
Rfam family: Bacterial small subunit ribosomal RNA
Source: RNAcentral
GGUUAAGUCCGCUAACGAGCGCGACCCUCGCUGUGUGUUACAAGUGUCACACGGAACUGCCGGUCAUAAACCGGAGGAAGUGGGAUGACGUCAAGUCAGCAUGGCCUUUAUAUCCUGGGCUACACACACGCUACAAUGGGAAGGGACAAUAGGUUGCGAAGCCGCGAGGCGGAGCCAAUCCAGCAAAACUUCCCUCAGUUUAGAUUGCAGGCUGCAACCCGCCUGCAUGAAGUUGGAGUUGCUAGUAAACGCAGGUCAGCCAUACUGCGUUGAAUACGUUCCCGGGGCUU